GUCUCGGUAGCUCAGUGGUAGAGCGUGGGAUUGCAGCCAGCAACGCUACAAUCAUCCUAAGGUCUCGUGUUCGACCCACGAUCGGGACU
Punctularia strigosozonata HHB-11173 SS5 is the source of this 89-nucleotide transfer RNA. It matches the Rfam family "tRNA". Rfam says of the family: Transfer RNA (tRNA) molecules are approximately 80 nucleotides in length. Their secondary structure includes four short double-helical elements and three loops (D, anti-codon, and T loops). Lineage: Eukaryota; Fungi; Basidiomycota; Agaricomycetes; Corticiales; Punctulariaceae. The record is from Rfam.